UCGUGUCGUGAGAUGUUCGGGUUAAGUCCCGCAACGAGCGCAACCCUCGACCUUAGUUGCCAGCAUUCAGUUGGGCACUCUAAGGUGACUGCCGGCUAAAAGUCGGAGGAAGGUGGGGAUGACGUCAAAUCAUCAUGCCCUUAUGACCUGGGCUACACACGUGCUACAAUGGGCGGUACAAAGGGUCGCGAACCCGCGAGGGGGAGCCAAUCCCAAAAAGCCGCUCUCAGUUCGGAUUGCAGGCUGCAACUCGCCUGCAUGAAGCCGGAAUCGCUAGUAAUCGCGGAUCAGCAUGCCGCGGUGAAUACGUUCCCGGGCCUU
RNAcentral lists this ribosomal RNA (321 nucleotides) under uncultured Anoxybacillus sp. RNAcentral describes it as "bacterial SSU rRNA". It matches the Rfam family "Bacterial small subunit ribosomal RNA", at positions 1060 to 1382 of the family's 1533-position model. Lineage: Bacteria; Bacillati; Bacillota; Bacilli; Caryophanales; Anoxybacillaceae. The record is from RNAcentral.